RNAcentral lists this ribosomal RNA (503 nucleotides) under uncultured bacterium. RNAcentral's name for it is "partial 16S ribosomal RNA". It matches the Rfam family "Bacterial small subunit ribosomal RNA", at positions 30 to 523 of the family's 1533-position model. The record is from RNAcentral.
AUUGAACGCUGGCGGCAGGCUUAACACAUGCAAGUCGAGCGGGGUGAUGGUGCUUGCACUAUCACUUAGCGGCGGACGGGUGAGUAAUGCUUAGGAAUCUGCCCAUUAGUGGGGGACAACAUCUCGAAAGGGAUGCUAAUACCGCAUACGUCCUACGGGAGAAAGCAGGGGAUCACUUGUGACCUUGCGCUAAUAGAUGAGCCUACGUCGGAUUAGCUAGUUGGUGGGGUAAAGGCCUACCAAGGCGACGAUCUGUAGCGGGUCUGAGAGGAUGAUCCGCCACACUGGGACUGAGACACGGCCCAGACUCCUACGGGAGGCAGCAGUGGGGAAUAUUGGACAAUGGGGGGAACCCUGAUCCAGCCAUGCCGCGUGUGUGAAGAAGGCCUUAUGGUUGUAAGGCACUUUAAGCGAGGAGGAGGCUCUUUUGGUUAAUACCCAAGAUGAGUGGACGUUACUCGCAGAAUAAGCACCGGCUAACUCUGUGCCAGCAGCCGCAGUAA